CGAAAGCCUGACGGAGCAACGCCGCGUGAGGGAUGAAGGCCUCUGGGCUGUAAACCUCUUUUCUCAAGGAAGAAGAUCUGACGGUACUUGAGGAAUAAGCCACGGCUAAUUCCGUGCCAGCAGCCGCGGUAAUACGGGAGUGGCAAGCGUUAUCCGGAAUCAUUGGGCGUAAAGCGUCCGCAGGCGGCCUUGAAAGUCUGUCGUUAAAGCGUGGAGCUUAACUCCAUUUCAGCGAUGGAAACUACAAGGCUUGAGUGUGGUAGGGGCAGAGGGUAUUCCCGGUGUAGCGGUGAAAUGCGUAGAUAUCGGGAAGAACACCAGUGGCGAAGGCGCUCUGCUGGGCCAUAACUGACGCUCAUGGACGAAAGCCAGGGGAGCG
This 379-nucleotide ribosomal RNA is filed under the name uncultured cyanobacterium. RNAcentral's name for it is "bacterial SSU rRNA". It matches the Rfam family "Bacterial small subunit ribosomal RNA", at positions 376 to 770 of the family's 1533-position model. The record is from RNAcentral. Lineage: Bacteria; Bacillati; Cyanobacteriota.